GACGAACGCUGGCGGCGUGCCUAAUACAUGCAUGUCGAGCGCAGGAAACUGACGGAACUCUUCGGAGGGAAGGCAGUGGAAUGAGCGGCGGACGGGUGAGUAACACGUAAGGAACCUGCCUCAAGGAUUGGGAUAACUCCGAGAAAUCGGAGCUAAUACCGGAUAGUUCAACGGACCGCAUGGUCCGCUGAUGAAAGGCGCUCCGGCGUCACCUUGAGAUGGCCUUGCGGUGCAUUAGCUAGUUGGUGGGGUAACGGCCCACCAAGGCGACGAUGCAUAGCCGACCUGAGAGGGUGAUCGGCCACACUGGGACUGAGACACGGCCCAGACUCCUACGGGAGGCAGCAGUAGGGAAUCUUCCACAAUGGACGAAAGUCUGAUGGAGCAACGCCGCGUGAGUGAUGAAGGUUUUCGGAUCGUAAAACUCUGUUGUAAGGGAAGAACACGUACGAGAGGAAAUGCUCGUACCUUGACGGUACCUUACGAGAAAGCCACGGCUAACUACGUGCCAGCCGCCGCUGUAA
RNAcentral lists this ribosomal RNA (524 nucleotides) under uncultured bacterium. RNAcentral's name for it is "partial 16S ribosomal RNA". It matches the Rfam family "Bacterial small subunit ribosomal RNA", at positions 28 to 523 of the family's 1533-position model. The record is from RNAcentral.